Molecule: ribosomal RNA, 253 nt
Filed under: uncultured bacterium
Lineage: Bacteria
Description: partial 16S ribosomal RNA
Rfam family: Bacterial small subunit ribosomal RNA
Source: RNAcentral
UACAGAGGUCUCAAGCGUUGUUCGGAUUCAUUGGGCGUAAAGGGUGCGUAGGUGGCGCGGUAAGUCGGGUGUGAAAUUUCGGAGCUUAACUCCGAAACUGCAUUCGAUACUGCCGUGCUUGAGGACUGGAGAGGAGACUGGAAUUUACGGUGUAGCAGUGAAAUGCGUAGAGAUCGUAAGGAAGACCAGUGGCGAAGGCGGGUCCCUGGACAGUUCCUGACACUGAGGCACGAAGGCCAGGGGAGCAAACGGG